This 93-nucleotide transfer RNA is filed under the name bacterium. RNAcentral describes it as "tRNA-Sec". It matches the Rfam family "Selenocysteine transfer RNA". RNAcentral also lists the same sequence under 1 other name. The record is from RNAcentral.
GGAGAGUGUCGUGUGCCUGGUGGUCGCCGCGGUCUUCAAAACCGUUGAAGCCUGUUAAGGGCUUGGUGGGUUCGAUUCCUUCCCUCUCCGCCA